This 324-nucleotide long non-coding RNA is filed under the name Rattus norvegicus (Norway rat). RNAcentral describes it as "long non-coding RNA NONRATT024509". The record is from RNAcentral. Lineage: Eukaryota; Metazoa; Chordata; Mammalia; Rodentia; Muridae.
UUUUUUUUCCUAGAAGUUUUUGGUUUUCUAACAAAAGAAAGGAAGAUAGCUCAGCAGUUACAUACAAGCAUUUAUUACUCUUCCGGAGGACCUGGGUUUGAUUCCCAGAAUCCAUAUGGUGUUUCACAGCCAUUUUUUUUUUCUUUUUUUCAGAGCUGGGGAAUGAACCCAGGGCCUUGCAAGCGCUCACAGCCAUUUUUAAAUUCCAGUUCUAGGAUAUCCUUUCCUGGCCUCUGGCCUCACCAGGCACAAAUACAGUGUACAAACAAACAAGAAGGCAAAACAUCCAUUCAACCCAUACACACGAAAUAUAUAAAAAAAUUU